Molecule: ribosomal RNA, 562 nt
Filed under: Salmonella enterica subsp. diarizonae
Lineage: Bacteria; Pseudomonadati; Pseudomonadota; Gammaproteobacteria; Enterobacterales; Enterobacteriaceae
Description: partial 23S ribosomal RNA
Rfam family: Bacterial large subunit ribosomal RNA
Source: RNAcentral
GGGCGGGACACGUGGUAUCCUGUCUGAAUAUGGGGGGACCAUCCUCCAAGGCUAAAUACUCCUGACUGACCGAUAGUGAACCAGUACCGUGAGGGAAAGGCGAAAAGAACCCCGGCGAGGGGAGUGAAACAGAACCUGAAACCGUGUACGUACAAGCAGUGGGAGCCCCACCACUAAGCCAGUGGUGAACUCCACAUACGCAUCCUUUGCGGAAGAUGCGGUUAACGGAGCGAAAGCGACGUUCAACCUCAGAAGAAGCAGAGGGGGCUUAGUGGUGGGGUGACUGCGUACCUUUUGUAUAAUGGGUCAGCGACUUAUAUUCUGUAGCAAGGUUAACCGCAUAGGGGAGCCGAAGGGAAACCGAGUCUUAAUUGGGCGUUAAGUUGCAGGGUAUAGACCCGAAACCCGGUGAUCUAGCCAUGGGCAGGUUGAAGGUUGGGUAACACUAACUGGAGGACCGAACCGACUAAUGUUGAAAAAUUAGCGGAUGACCUGUGGCUGGGGGUGAAAGGCCAAUCAAACCGGGAGAUAGCUGGUUCUCCCCGAAAGCUAUUUAGGUAGC